This 301-nucleotide ribosomal RNA is filed under the name uncultured bacterium. Its description in RNAcentral is "partial 16S ribosomal RNA". It matches the Rfam family "Bacterial small subunit ribosomal RNA", at positions 509 to 807 of the family's 1533-position model. The record is from RNAcentral.
CAGUCGCCACGGUAAUACGAAGGGGGCUAGCGUUGUUCGGAUUUACUGGGCGUAAAGCGCACGUAGGCGGACUUUUAAGUCAGGGGUGAAAUCCCGGGGCUCAGCCCCAGAACUGCCUUUGAUACUGGAAGUCUUGAGUAUGGUAGAGGUGAGUGGAAUUCCGAGUGUAGAGGUGAAAUUCGUAGAUAUUCGGAGGAACACCAGUGGCGAAGGCGGCUCACUGGACCAUUACUGACGCUGAGGUGCGAAAGCGUGGGGAGCAAACAGGAUUAGAUACCCCGGUAGUCCCUGUCUCUUAUAC